UACGGAAGGCAGCAGUGGGGAAUAUUGCACAAUGGGCGCAAGCCUGAUGCAGCCAUGCCGCGUGUAUGAAAAAGGCCUUCGGGUUGUAAAGUACUUUCAGUCGUGAGGAAGGUGUUAAGGUUAAUAACCUUAGCAAUUGACGUUAGCGACAGAAGAAGCACCGGCUAACUCCGUGCCAGCAGCCGCGGUAAUACGGAGGGUGCGAGCGUUAAUCGGAAUUACUGGGCGUAAAGGGCACGCAGGCGGUUAAUUAAGUUGGAUGUGAAAUCCCCGGGCUUAACCUGGGAAUGGCAUUCAAGACUGGUUAGCUAGAGUCUUGUAGAGGGGGUAGGAAUUCCACUGUGUAGCGGUGAAAUAGCGUAGAGAUGUGGAGGAAGUACCGGUGGGCGAAGGCGGGCCCCCUCGGAGAAACGAACUGACGCUCAUGUGCGAAAGACGUGGGGAGGGCAAACAAGGGAGUUAGUAUACC
Molecule: ribosomal RNA, 469 nt
Filed under: uncultured bacterium
Lineage: Bacteria
Description: bacterial SSU rRNA
Rfam family: Bacterial small subunit ribosomal RNA
Source: RNAcentral